UACAGAGGGUGCAAGCGUUGUUCGGAAUUAUUGGGCGUAAAGCGCGUGUAGGCGGCUUUGCAAGUCGGGUGUGAAAGCCCUCGGCUCAACCGAGGAAGUGCGCCCGAAACUGCAGAGCUUGAGUACCGGAGAGGAUGGCGGAAUUCCCCAAGUAGAGGUGAAAUUCGUAGAUAUGGGGGAGGAACACCGGUGGCGAAGGCGGCCAUCUGGACGGAUACUGACGCUGAGACGCGAAAGCGUGGGGAGCAAACGGG
This 254-nucleotide ribosomal RNA is filed under the name uncultured bacterium. RNAcentral's name for it is "partial 16S ribosomal RNA". It matches the Rfam family "Bacterial small subunit ribosomal RNA", at positions 524 to 776 of the family's 1533-position model. The record is from RNAcentral.